UGAGCCUACGGGACGCAGCAGUGGGGGAUAUUGCACAAUGGGGGAAACCCUGAUGCAGCGACGCCGCGUGAGCGAUGAAGUAUUUCGGUAUGUAAAGCUCUAUCAGCAGGGAAGAAAAUGACGGUACCUGACUAAGAAGCCCCGGCUAACUACGUGCCAGCAGCCGCGGUAAUACGUAGGGGGCAAGCGUUAUCCGGAUUUACUGGGUGUAAAGGGAGCGUAGACGGCAGUGCAAGUCUGAAGUGAAAGGCAAGGGCUCACCCCUUGGACUGCUUUGGAAACCGUGCUGAUGGAUUGUCGGAGAG
This 305-nucleotide ribosomal RNA is filed under the name uncultured bacterium. RNAcentral's name for it is "bacterial SSU rRNA". It matches the Rfam family "Bacterial small subunit ribosomal RNA", at positions 333 to 656 of the family's 1533-position model. The record is from RNAcentral.